This is a non-coding RNA of Pelobates cultripes (western spadefoot toad), 219 nucleotides long. The record is from the annotation of a GenBank genome assembly. Lineage: Eukaryota; Metazoa; Chordata; Amphibia; Anura; Pelobatidae.
AAGUGGUUUGGUUACUUACCUGGGACAGCACCAGGAAACUCCUGGAACAACCAGCCAAAGUGGUUUUAAAGCUGAGACAGACCCUUUAGCACUGUCUGCCUGAAACUGGUGUGCACGUAGCAUUUGCAUGACAGUGAUGAAUUGGCAGAGGAGCCAGGGAGAGCAUUUUAUUACAUGACAGGAGGCUUCAUAUUUUGCUAUUUGCUCUCUUUACUGAAC